RNAcentral lists this ribosomal RNA (237 nucleotides) under uncultured bacterium. Its description in RNAcentral is "partial 16S ribosomal RNA". It matches the Rfam family "Bacterial small subunit ribosomal RNA", at positions 118 to 347 of the family's 1533-position model. The record is from RNAcentral.
UGAGUAACCUGCCCUUAACUCUGGGAUAAGCCUGGGAAACUGGGUCUAAUACCGGAUAUGACUCCUCAUCGCAUGGGUGGGGGGUGGAAAGCUUUAUUGUGGUUUUGGAUGGACUCGCGGCCUAUCAGCUUGUUGGUGAGGUAAUGGCUCACCAAGGCGACGACGGGUAGCCGGCCUGAGAGGGUGACCGGCCACACGUGGGACUGAGACACGGCCCAGACCUCCGUACGGGAGCAG